Molecule: unclassified non-coding RNA, 315 nt
Organism: Cricetulus griseus (Chinese hamster)
Lineage: Eukaryota; Metazoa; Chordata; Mammalia; Rodentia; Cricetidae
Gene: 7SK
Rfam family: 7SK RNA
About the family: 7SK was discovered as an abundant small nuclear RNA in the mid-70s but a possible function has only recently been suggested. Two independent studies have found that 7SK RNA binds the CDK9/cyclin T complex (known as elongation factor P-TEFb). P-TEFb activates transcription by phosphorylating the C-terminal domain of RNA polymerase II.
Source: Ensembl
AUGAGGGAGAUUUGGCUGUGACGUCUUUUACCCCAUUGAUUUCCAGGGUUGAUCCGGCUGAUCUUCCUGGUUAGGUGGGUGUCCCCUUCCUCCCUCCCUACUCUGUAUGCAUCCCUCCCAAACUUAGGGCUCCAUCAAAGAGGACAACCUUCCCCGAAUGGCAGAGGACCAGUCUUCAGUCUAGGGUAUACAAAUAGCUGCACUCCCCUGCUAUUACCUCCGAACAAGCUCUCAGGCAUUAAUUCUUUACUGCAUUUGUCCAGUGAACCCUACUCAAUGUGAAGUAUUUCCCCAGAUGCUAAAUGGCUCUCUUUG